UGCAGACCUUUGGAAAUAACCACAGGGAGUCAGACUACCGAAGCACAGUCAAGCAAUAAAUCUACCAGCAAUUUUUGUUUUCUCCAUGAGCAGAUGUACAGUGAAAGUAGAGUGCCGUUCAACCAGAGCUAGCUGUAUUAGCUGCUGCUGAAAACUUUACAGGAGGAAAUAUUCUCAGUGAAAGUUUAUGUACAUCAUGGGAAGAGGAAUUAUGCCUCUACCAUCUCCCUGGAAAGUUUGUUCCAAUGCUUAACAACCCUUUCCAUGAAGAAAUUCUACUUGAUGUCCAACCUGAACCUCUUCUGGUGCAUCUUGAGGCUAUAUCCUCUCAUCCUGUCACUUGUCACCUGGGAGAAGAAUCCAACACCCACCUCACUACAGCCUGCUGUCAGAAUUUCUGUGAAAUGAAGACGAUAAGGAGGUGAAGAGGAGGUUUCAGCAGCUGGUACACAAACAUCUAAUGACAGCUCUGCAGCCAAUAAAU
Molecule: non-coding RNA, 484 nt
Organism: Cyanistes caeruleus (blue tit)
Lineage: Eukaryota; Metazoa; Chordata; Aves; Passeriformes; Paridae
Source: RefSeq, a predicted model, not a curated record